Long non-coding RNA from Oncorhynchus tshawytscha (Chinook salmon), 555 nucleotides. Lineage: Eukaryota; Metazoa; Chordata; Actinopteri; Salmoniformes; Salmonidae. The record is from Ensembl.
CAGAAAUGUUAAGUUUGUUCUCUUCAGCUCGCCCCAAAGCAUUCCAUUUCACACACACACACACACACACACACACACAUACACACACACACACACACACACACACACACACACACACACACACACACACACACACACACACACACACACACACACACACACACACACACACACACAUUUACUGCUAGCUAGGGCAGGUUGUGGCCUCUCUCCCAGUUCAAACAAACCAGGUGUGUUUUCUACAUUAAAAGGCCUUCUGCUGUAGUUCCACUAACGUGUUUUCUGAGGUGAAGCCUAACGUGUUUUCUGAGGUGAAAGCCUAACGUCUUUUCUGAGGUGAAAGCCUAACGUCUUUUCUGAGGUGAAAGCCUAACGUGUUUUCUGAGGUGAAAGCCUAACGUGUUUUCUGAGGUGAAAGCCUAACGUGUUUUCUGAGGUGAAAGCCUAACGUGUUUUCUGAGGUGAAUGCCUAACGUGUUUUCUGAGGUGAAUGCCUAACGUGUUUUCUGAAGUGAAAGCCUAACGUGUUUUUGUCAUAGCUACUUUUGGAAGCAC